This is a long non-coding RNA of Vidua macroura (Pin-tailed whydah), 1349 nucleotides long. RefSeq lists it as uncharacterized. The record is from RefSeq and is a predicted model, not a curated record. The transcript is spliced from 2 exons. NCBI's taxonomy places the organism in Eukaryota, Metazoa, Chordata, Aves, Passeriformes, Viduidae.
GCAUAGGCGCAGGCACCCGCCAAUCAGCAGCCACGGCCAAUAGCGCUGGGAUACAGGGGGACUUGUCCCGCCCAGCAACCCUGAGGCGGCUCCGCUUUCCUAGCGGAGGGAACAGAGCGGCUGAGGCUGCACUGGUAGAGCGACCUGUCAAUCCAACAUGGACCGAUUAAUCCCGCCCUUCCGCGGACGCGAUUGGCCAGCCGGCCCCGGGGCGGGGCUCUUCUCGGGAUGCUCGGGGGCGAUUGGCGCGAGGCUCCUUCCGUUUCCGGGUAGCGGCCGCGCGCGUGAGGCGCUGCUGGUCCGCCCGCCCGGGCCCUGCGCCAUCGCCGCGAUGGACGGGCCGCGCUUCCCCUCCGCGGGAUGGACGGGCCGCGCUCCCCCUCCUGCGCUCCCACCGUCGGCUCCGCGGGGAGCGCUGAGCAGCAUGGCGGAGAGGCGUUGCUGGGCGCCGCUGCUGUGCUCAGCCUCUCCCUUCGGGCCUGGGGACCCUCGAAGACCCGCGGGCCGUGCCGGCGCCGCCGGCCCUCGGGCGGGGUUCUAGGUUUUAUCUCGCUGGCCCUUUGGUGGUGCAGGCGGUGGUGGAGUUCCCUCGGGCCAGGGCUGGCUAAGGGUGGAGGCGGAUCCCCGAGAAGGGGCUGAUGGAGCCGGGCUGCGCUAAAGCGCGCUCAGGUGGCAGCGGGGAGGCCGCUCUCGGACGAGCAGCGCCGUUCAGUCGGCGCCUUCUGGCCUCGUAGGCAGCGGAGGCUGUAUGUGGGCAGCUGGCAAACUGCUGCAUGGGUCUGUCUCCUUCCUGGCUUUGGCUGUGUCUGGGGACCGAUUUGACUGUGUUCGGUUUCCCGGGUUUGGUUAAUUUUUGGUGGGAUAAAGCAGGCGGUUUGUCCCUGAGAAAGUAGCGGUGCUUUGCGUGCUCGGAUUUGGUGCUGAGAGGGGAGACCCGAGUAGUUUUUGCACAGCUUGACCUGUCACCCGAGCAGCUGGCAGGGGUGGCAGCGGGUUGGAAAAAUGGGAGCACGAUUGGGCUGGCUGUCUGAGCAAAAGAAUGGUUCAGUCGAUGCUGGAGCAAGGACAGAAGUGCCUAAUGUUAGCCAGAGAAGUGCUGGAUUUGGAACGCGUCCUGUGCAGCCAGCUUUGCUCUCCUGGGCAGAUGCCGAAUUCUUUCCAAGAACUUGGCGCAGAGCGUGGCGGUCUCCUAAAGCAGCAGGGCCUAUCCUAUAAUGAUUUAAAUCAUCUGUUCAGAAGAAGCAUUAAUGGAACUUGCAUAAGAAUCCUGACAUUUUGCUGAUGUUCCUGUUAGAAGACCUAUCACCUCAUUUUGAAAUAAAGCAUUAAUAAAAGCACCACUAUUCAAA